CCAGGAUGUUGGCUUAGAAGCAGCCAUCAUUUAAAGAAAGCGUAAUAGCUCACUGGUCGAGUCGGCCUGCGCGGAAGAUGUAACGGGGCUAAACCAUGCACCGAAGCUGCGGCAGCGAACGUAUCACCCAAGACAACUUUACGGAGUUGACGAUUGACGGAGCGAAGCGACGUCAAAGCGUUCAUUAAAGUCGAGUUGGCUUAGGGAUACGUUCGUUGGGUAGGGGAGCGUUCUGUAAGCCUGUGAAGGUGGCCUGUGAGGGUUGCUGGAGGUAUCAGAAGUGCGAAUGCUGACAUAAGUAACGAUAAAGCGGGUGAAAAGCCCGCUCGCC
RNAcentral lists this ribosomal RNA (331 nucleotides) under Salmonella enterica subsp. enterica serovar Derby. Its description in RNAcentral is "partial 23S ribosomal RNA". It matches the Rfam family "Bacterial large subunit ribosomal RNA", at positions 1093 to 1338 of the family's 2925-position model. Lineage: Bacteria; Pseudomonadati; Pseudomonadota; Gammaproteobacteria; Enterobacterales; Enterobacteriaceae. The record is from RNAcentral. RNAcentral also lists the same sequence under 2 other names.